RNAcentral lists this ribosomal RNA (1137 nucleotides) under Triticum aestivum (bread wheat). Its description in RNAcentral is "partial small subunit ribosomal RNA". Lineage: Eukaryota; Viridiplantae; Streptophyta; Magnoliopsida; Poales; Poaceae. The record is from RNAcentral.
AUGGAGUGGAGCCAAGGAUCUCAGCAGGGAAAAAUAUUGUCACACGCUCAGACACCUCCAGUUCCUUCAGGAUUGCCAUUGGUUGGCAAGGUUGAGAAAUCGGAUGUAACGUCAUUAUGCAUAAUAGCAUUCAGGUUCACACUGUUGAGCAGUGUUGGCAAUUUGCUAGUGGUAUUUCAUCAUGAUGGUACCAGCAAAGACACAAGUGAGCUGCUAACUGGCACAAUGGAGGUUGUUGUUUGCUUCUAUUAUCUGAGCACAUUAGCGCCUUCGAACGUGCGCCCCAACGCACGGAAUUUCAUAGACACAGGCGCUCUUGUUAUUAUGUCUUAUCUGUUAUUACUGGACAUCAACUUGAGCUUUCUCUGGCUCGCCAUCUUGCCCACAAUGGCCAUUGUUUUCAUAACAGCGCUUUACAUCAAGCUCAAUCAUCAUACUGGUGAUAGCCAUGGAAAAGCUACUCCAGGAUCUUCUAACAUCGACGAGAAGACCAUCAAGACACCGAUGGAGCUUCGGAUCAUAGUGGUGGCGACUUUUGGGGCUCUCCUAGUCAUGGAUCAGCUCGACGACGAUACAGCUGGUGGGUUCACCAUCUCCCAGUUCCUCCUAUUCCUGAGCUCCACGGUGGCGGCAUUGACAUGCAUGGUGAUGAAGCUGCCUGCCGAUCGUUUUUUGGGCAGUGCUCCGGCAUCAGAGUUGCUCCAAAAGGCCUUGCUUCUGCUCCUACUGGUGACGGUGCACACAUUGGCCGCGGAGUUGUUGGGCGAGGACGUGGUUCUGUUCUGCAUGCCAGAGAUCAUCCCGGUGCUCCUCUGGUUCAGCCUUAAUCUCGACCGCCCACACCACAGCCCGCUCACCAACAUCUACAAAAUGAAGCCACACAUGAAGGGACUCACUAUUGCCAAAGGUGUCCUGGUGGUAGUUCCUCUUUUCGCGUGCUUAGUGAGCUCCAUGGAUGUAUCUGGGCUCUCCUACUGCACGACGAUCAUGGUGGCAUGUGGCAUCUCAGGGGUUCUGACCUACUACAUUGUAUUCAUGCUAAACUACUGGCAUUGGCCGUGGCAGAAGCAACAAGCAGCAGCUGGCAGCAGCAGCAAGGACGAUGUGCCUUCCUCAGGUGUAUUGGCAUGUUCAUGA